AUGGCCAGUAGUGCAUAUGUCAGACACCAGUUUUACCAUAAAUAGGUUGUAAAACUUCAGUCUGUCCACAAAGUGUCAGUGCAACUGGUGCUCAGAGCUUUGUAACAACCUUAUCUCGCAAGUGGGAUUCUUUAAGAAGCACCAUAGUCUUCCUUUUCACGCUCUUUGUAGGAUGAGUGCCAGUCUUCAUGUGAGCACUGUCUUCUAGAAUGCCUGCAUUUUCUCAAUGUAGUCCCUUGGAGAUAAGACCACAGCUGUGUUGCCUUCGGUAGCUGGCAAGACUGCAGUAUCGGAAUCUUCGUAGUUCCCACAUGGUACCCUCUUCCUACUACAGAUGUUAAGUUUCAUAAGACUUGUUUUAGUGUGUGACAGAUUUUGUGACCUACUUCUUCAGGUGGAAGUCUUGCAGCUUCCUCUUCCACUGUGCUGAUAUCCACGAUAAGUGCAGAUUUACCAGUUGGAGUCUCUUCUUAGGAAGUUAAACCACAACCUGACCCAGUUGGUUGGCUGUACUACAGGUAGCAUCAGAAGGUCGUCUCUUGUACAUGUCAGACUUUUUGAUAUCCACUGACUUUUGUGCGGAGUCCACUCCAGAUCAUGUGACACCUUUAAUCCAUUCCCAUGUCAAGGAAUAGAACUUGUCCAGCUGUAGAUGUAAUUUGAAUAGUUCUUUGUUAGUCAAAUCAAGGCAGCAGGGAAUAGUGUGUUCUCUCUUCCCUACCAUGGCUAAACUGGCACGUUUCUGGGUUCUUCAGUCUGCCACAGACUUGAUGUGAUAUUAUCUUGUUGAAGUUCUGGACCAAAAGUUAUUCAGCUUCUUGGAAGGAAUGCAGAGGUAAAUGGCUCAACAAGUAAUGCAGUUUCUAAAAUCUUUCCAUGCUGUGGUACAUCUACCCAUAGAGGUGUAGGAUGUGAUUCUUCAUCUUCUCUUGGCAUUCUUCAUGACAAAAUAAUUCACCGGUGAACAGUCAGUCUGUGUCCAAUGGGCACAAAUUACAUCAUUAAAUGUCUCUUCAGAAGGUAAUUUGUCAAAAAUGUGGCCUUGCACAUAAGUGAAAAAUGGGCAGAAACAAUUCAGACAAGAAACAAAUAGAAGUUUUUGAAAUAAGUUUCUAGAGAACACCACAAAAUUAGGUAGGUUGAUCGUAUAACCAUUGAGGAUGUAAUGACUGAAAUUGGGAAGAAAAGAGAUGUGUGGCUCAACUUGACAAAAAUGAGAUUGAUUGAGGUGCAACAAUUUUUGAAAGUGACAAAUGCCUGAGUACUGUAAAUAGGUUCAAAUUGUGCCUUGCACAGGAUAAAAAAGUAGGGAGAGCUGCAUCAAACAAGUCUUUGGACUUACAGCAGAAAAGAAAUAUGGUUUCAGGCAGAUUGUUGUUCUCUCUCUCUCUCUCUCUCUCUGACUCUCUCUCUCUCUCUCUCUCUCUCUCUCUCUCUCUCUCUCUCUGACAUUUUACCGCACUUUGAUUUUUAUUUUGUGUAUGUCUCAGUUGAGGUGGUCCGUUCCAAAACUGGUCUUAUCCAAUUUUUUUUUUUACGAAAUGAGUGAAGCCUACUCCGAAUUUCUUCAGUACCCGGCACAUUGACUGAUUAGUCUGCAUUCACUCAAAAGUUGUUCUUUACCGUAGAAAUUAUUAGCUAAAAAUCGGUAGUUCCAAAACUUGCCUUAUUUAUUCCAAGUGUCGUUCAUAGUUCCCUUAUCCUACCAGCCAUUGAAAUUCUUCAUGUUCCAGUCAAAGGAAAUGCGCGAUGUUUUUCCCACGUUUUUACAGCUGUCGUCAAUAAAGUUUGAAGACGUGCAGUUUUGUGACAAAAUAGGAUUACAAUGGAAGAAAGAAUUACUCCAGCUCCAAAAGGCAAAGCAAGAUGCCGUAAAAGUAAUCCUGCUUUAUGGAAGAAAACCAAGGAAAAAUAUAAAAGGCAUGGGCCAAUGGAACCACCACAAUAUCCAUAAUGGACCAACGUACAAAUGCAGGAAAUUAAGGAUGUUAGGCAUUCAACAGUUCCAUAAGAACUUCUACAGCUCUCCCAAUAAAAUUGAGCUAGACACUUUUAUACUGAAAUAUCUGAGAGCAGAAAAGUCUGAAAGACACACACUCAAAAGAAGGUAGCAGCAGGAAGAGUGUUGCUAUUGAGUAUUUCGUUAAACUUGCUAAUACCGAUAAAUUUCAAGUAAAAGUGUGCCAAAAAACAUUUCUCAAUAUUUUACAUGUGAGUAAAGAUAGAAUUCAUAGAAUUGCCAGAAAUCACUACCAAACUGGUGAAAUGCCUAAAGAGAAAAGAGGUGGUGCUAGAGACAGGCCACAGUACGAUGCAAAGAGACAAUCUGUAAAGUCUUCUAUUGAACGUUCGAAAUGCUGUGAAAGUCACUAUCGUUGAGGAAAAUCGUUGCAAAGAAAAUAUCUUCCCGGAAACUUUAGUAUUGCAAAGUUACACUGGAUUUAUAAUGCAGAGGUUUGUCAUGUUGAGAGUGAAGCGAUGGUUCUUUCGCAACAUUCACAACAGGUUACAACAUCGGUUUUGGUUCACGUGUAAAAGAUGCAUGUUCUACGUGCAUUGAACUUAAGGGAAAAAUUGAGCACGUGAAGGAUAAGUCAGAAAAGCAUUCAUAAUUUAAAAGCUAAAAUUUUUACGCAAAGCUGCAAGAAAAAGGGAUGCUAUGCUCACACUGUCAUUUGACUGUCAGAAAAAUCUGGUUAAACCUAAAAUACUAGAUCAAAUUGCCUACUACAGUCGUCAGAUAUACACCUAUAAUUUUACAGUUGUAAUGGGCCAUUCACAUACUGAAUUGACAGUACAAAAUGUUUUCACGUAUACAUGGAUGGAACACGAAUACAAAAAGGGAUCAAAUGAGAUCCUCUGCAAUAUUUGACAGACUUUCUAAAUGUGAUUUAUCGAACUACUCAAGUUUCAGACUUUGUGCUGAUUGCUGCGGAAGACAGAAUAGAAACUCUACAGUGACAAUGAUGUGCAGCUAUUUUCUGUGAAAAGUGAGUGCCCCCCCAUGUGAAGCGUAUUGAACUGAUAUUCCCAUUCCAGGACACUCCUUUCUGCCUUCGGACAGAGUAUUUGGACAAAUAGAGGAUGAUAUUAGGACCAGGCCAGUAAUUUGCAACCCAAGAGUAUGAAGAUAUUUUUGCAUCGCAUGUUCAGGUUUCUAAUUUGGGUGUGGAUUGCACAGUGAGAGACUGGAAGAAGGCUGCUGACAAUGUGAUGAAAAAACCAAGUAGCUGGCAUUUCAAAUUUUCUUCAGCAAAGCGGUUCAUCUUGUGUAAAACGUUUGAAGGAAACGUGACAGUACAAGGAGAACCGAAUUACAAUGUAGACUGUGGUUCAGGAAGGUCUGUGAUGAAGAAAGGUAAGUUUGAUGAAUAUGGAUGUUGCACAAGUUGUGUCCUCAGGAGUGCCCUUGAACCCAGCCAAGAUGAAGGACGUAAAGCAUUUGCUACAAAAACAUUUUGGAUUGGAGUGGAAGGUGAAUAAAGAACUAGCUUUCUACAAAAAUUUGUUAAUGUCCAAUAUUGGAGAAACAAAUUACUACCCUGAAGAGACUAUCAACGAAUAUUGUGAAAUCUUGUGAGGAUUUGACAGACUUAGCUAUUCGAAUUCUGCUCAAUGAAUAAUUAUGUAGAAUCAUUGUUUACUAUGAACUGUGUUUUUAAGUUCUAAUAAAUGAGUAUAAACUGAA
Schistocerca serialis cubense is the source of this 3688-nucleotide long non-coding RNA. RefSeq lists it as uncharacterized. The record is from RefSeq and is a predicted model, not a curated record. The transcript is spliced from 2 exons. NCBI's taxonomy places the organism in Eukaryota, Metazoa, Arthropoda, Insecta, Orthoptera, Acrididae.